Molecule: ribosomal RNA, 479 nt
Filed under: uncultured bacterium
Lineage: Bacteria
Description: bacterial SSU rRNA
Rfam family: Bacterial small subunit ribosomal RNA
Source: RNAcentral
AGACGCUGGCGGCGUGCCUAACACAUGCAAGUCGAGCGGAGUCGAUCGACGGAAGCCUUCGGGCGGAAGAUGGUUGACUUAGCGGCGGAUGGGUGAGUAACGCGUGGGCAACCUGCCCUUAACCGGGGGAUAACAUUGUGAAAACAGUGCUAAUACCGCAUAACAGAGUAUCGGGCAUCCGAUAUUUUUAAAAGGAGCAAUCCGGUUUAGGAUGGGCCCGCGUCCAAUUAGCUAGUUGGUGAGGUAACGGCUCACCAAGGCUACGAUUGGUAGCCGAACUGAGAGGUUGAUCGGCCACAUUGGGACUGAGACACGGCCCAGACUCCUACGGGAGGCAGCAGUGGGGAAUAUUGGGCAAUGGGCGAAAGCCUGACCCAGCGACGCCGCGUGAAGGAUGAAGGUCUUCGGAUUGUAAACUUCUUUGAUCAGGGAAGAAAGAAAUGACGGUACCUGAAGAACAAGCCACGGCUAACUACGUG